This 2561-nucleotide long non-coding RNA is filed under the name Canis lupus familiaris (dog). Its description in RNAcentral is "lncRNA (ENSCAFG00845023941.1)". The record is from RNAcentral. Lineage: Eukaryota; Metazoa; Chordata; Mammalia; Carnivora; Canidae.
AAACAUUCAUUCAAAAUUCAACUACCAUCUACAAAUUAAGUUAUACAGUCACUGAGAAAAUGUCUAUAAAUCAAAAGCCUCUGCAAUCACAUUGGAUAUUUGUGGGCCUAUUAAAUAGAGACACAGUCAGGCUUUGAGGAUACAAUGAUGAGCAAAACAAACAUAGAUGCUGUUCUUAUGCAUACAAGAAAAUCUCCAUAUUGCACUCAAGAUGUAUGGAAUGGAAAAGUAGAUUUACACAGAGUUUUGGUAGCCAUUAUAAAUAUUAGAGCCAUGGGCAUGUAUUAUGAGAGGUCUGAGCAGGGAAAGAAGCUAGGCUGAAAAUCACAUUCUGGAUUUUUUAAAAUCUUCCUUUCUUCUCUCUCUCUCUCUCUCUCUCUCUUUCUCAAGUAGAGCAAUUUUAGGUUCACAACAAAAUUAAGAGGAAGAUAGAGAGAUAUCCCAAAUACACCUUGUCCCUAGACAUGCAUAAAUUCCUCCACUAUCAACAUCCCUGACCAGAAUGUUACAUUUGUUACAACUGAUAAACCAUACAUUGAUUCAUCCUAAAUCCAUAGUUUACAUUAUGGUUCAUUCCUGGUGUUGUUAAUUCUAUGGGAUUGGACAAAUGUAUAAUGACAUGUAUUCAUCACUAUAGUAUCAUACACAGUAUUUUCAGUGCCUUAAAAAUUCUCUGUGUUCCACUUAUUCAUUAUUCCCUCACUAUUGCCACCAUCCCCAACCUUUGGUAACCACUGAACUUUUUACCGUGUUUAUAGUUUUGAUUUUUCUAGAAAGUCAUACAGUCAGAAUCAUACAGUAUAUAUAGCCUUCUCAUAUUGGCUUCUUUCACUUAGUAAUAUGUAUUUAAGGCUCCUCCUGUCUUUCAUGGCUUGAUAGUUCCUUUCUUUUUAGUGCUGAGUAUCAUUCAACUGCCUAGAUGCAAGUUUAUCCAUUCACCAGCUAAGGGACUUGGUUUCCUCCAAGUCUUGGCAUUUAUGAAUAAAACUGCUAUAAAAAUCAUGUUCAGUUUUUGUGUGGGCUCAUGUUUUCCACCUCUUUGGAUAAAUACCAAGGAGCAUGUUUAGAUUUGUAAGAAACCCAUCAACCCACAGUUGUUUUCCAAAGUGGCUGAACCAUUUUUUCUGGGCUUUCUAUACUGUUCAUUCUACUAGUGUAUCCUUUUGCCAGUACCAACACUGCCUUAUUUACUGUAGCUUUAUACUAAGUCUUGAAAUUGGGUACUGUCAGUUUCCCAACUCUAUUCCUCACCUUAAAUAUUGUGUUGGUUAUCCUGAAUCUUUUGCCUCUCAAUAUAAAAUUUACAAUCAUUUUGUUGGUAUUGACAAAAAAAACUACCAAAAUUUUGAUUGGGAUUUCAAUGAAUCUAUAGAUCAAGUUAUGAACAACUGACAUUUUGAGGAUAUUGAGUUUUCCUAUCCAUGAGCAUGGAAUAUCUCUCUACUUACUUAGUUUUUUUUUUUUAAUUUCUUUCAUCAGAGUUUAUAGUUUUUCUCAUAUAUAUUAUAUAGAGAAAUACUUAGAUAUAUAUAUAUAGUUAGAUUUAUAUCUAAGUAUUUCUCUUGUUUUGGAUGCUGAUAUAAAUGGUAUUGCUUUUAAUUUCAAAUUCCAUUUGCUUAUUGUGGGUAUACAAGAAAAUGACUUUUUAAAUACUUUUUUACUUAUCUUUUUUUAGUAAUUUCUAUACUCAAUGUGAGACUCAAACUUACAACCCAGAAAUCCAGAGCUGCAUGCUCUUCCAAUUGACCCAGCCAAGUAGCCCAAAUGAUUGACUUUUGUAUAUAUAUUAACCUGUAUCCUGCAAUCUUGCAAUAGUCACUUAUUAGUUCUAGACUUUUUUGGUCAAUUCCUUCAGAUUUUCUAUAUAGGUAAUCAUGUCAUCUGUGAACAAAGACACUUCAUUUCUUGCUUCCCAAUUGUUGUAACUUUUCUUUCCUUUUAUUGUCCAGUUGCUUUAGCUAGGACUUCCAUGAUGUUGAGAAGGAGUGGUAAGAGGUCAUCCUUGCCUUUUUCCUGAUCUUAGCAGGAAAGUUUUCUCUUUAUUGUGAUGUUAGCUAUAGGGUUUUUUGCAGACAAACUUUAUCAAGCUGAGGAAAUUUCUCUGUAUGCCUAGUUACUUAGAGUUUAUCAUGAAGUUUUCAACAUCAGGUUUUGUCAAAUAUAUUUUCUGCCUCUAUUGAUAAUAAGUAUGCAAUUAUUUUUUUUGGUCUGUUGAUGUGACAGAUUGCAUAAGUUGAUUUUCAAAUGUUGAUACAGAUUUGCAUAUUUGGAAUAAAUCCCACUUGGUAUAAUUUUUUUAUACAUUGUUGCAUUAUUUUUGCUAAUGUUUUGUGUUAGACUGUUGUACCUAAGUUCAUGAGAAAUAAUGAUCUAUAGUUUUCUUAUCUUGUAAUGUCAUUGUCUGGUUUUGGUAUUAGGGUAAUGCUGGUCUCACAGGAUGAGUUAGGAAGUAUUCCCUCUGUUUCUAUCCUCUGAAAGAGAGAAUUGGUAUAAUUUCUUCCCUAAAUGUUUGGUGAAAUCCACUAUUAAACACCUGGGUCAAAAAAAAAAAAAAACAAAAA